RNAcentral lists this ribosomal RNA (477 nucleotides) under uncultured bacterium. RNAcentral describes it as "SSU rRNA". It matches the Rfam family "Bacterial small subunit ribosomal RNA", at positions 26 to 523 of the family's 1533-position model. The record is from RNAcentral.
AGGACGAACGCUGGCGGCGUGCUUAACACAUGCAAGUCGAACGGUGAAGCCUUUCGGGGUGGAUCAGUGGCGAACGGGUGAGUAACACGUGGGCAAUCUGCCCUGCAUUCUGGGACAAGCCUUGGAAACGAGGUCUAAUACCGGAUACGACGCAUCUCCGCAUGGGGUGUGCGUGGAAAGCUCCGGCGAUGCAGGAUGAGCCCGCGGCCUAUCAGCUUGUUGGUGGGGUAAUGGCCUACCAAGGCGACGACGGGUAGCCGGCCUGAGAGGGCGACCGGCCACACUGGGACUGAGACACGGCCCAGACUCCUACGGGAGGCAGCAGUGGGGAAUAUUGCACAAUGGGCGAAAGCCUGAUGCAGCGACGCCGCGUGAGGGAUGACGGCCUUCGGUUGUAACCUCUUUCAGCAGGGAGAGCGCAAGUGACGGUACCUGCAGAAGAAGCACCGGCUAACUACGUGCCAGCAGCCGCGGUAA